This is a long non-coding RNA of Bos taurus (domestic cattle), 3731 nucleotides long. Lineage: Eukaryota; Metazoa; Chordata; Mammalia; Artiodactyla; Bovidae. The record is from Ensembl.
GUUCGAUUCCUGGUCAGGAAACUAGAUCCCACAUGUUGCAACUAGGAGUUCAAAUACUGCAACUGCAAAAAGAUAUCCUGCAUGCCACAACAAAGACUGAAGAUCCCAGUAUAGGAUCUUUUCACAUGGGCUUCCUUCACUUAGUAAUAUUAUGCGUUUAAUGUCCCUGUGUGUCUUUUCAUGGCUUGACGGUUUGUGCCUUUUUAGUACCGAAUAGUAUCCCAUUCAAAGAAGGCAAUGGCACCCCACUCCAGUGUUCUUGCCUGGAGAAUCCCAUGGACGGAGGAGCCUGGUGGGCUACCGUCUAUGGGGUCGCACAGAGUCGGACACGACUGAAGCGACUUAGCAGCAGCAGCAGCAGCAUUCCAUUGUCUGAAUGUACCACAGUUUAUGAGUUCCUCCACCUGCUGAAGGACAUCUUGAUUGCUUUCAGGUUUUGGCGAUUAUGAACAAAGCCUCCAUAGACACCAGCAUGCACAUUUUUGUGUGGACAUAAGUUUCCAACUCCUUUGGGUAAAUCCUGAUGGAAUAACUUGGUUCGUGGCCAUUCUGCUUCCUGGUUCAUGACCCAGCAGGAAGGACCUGGAGAGGAGACGCACAGUCAAGGGCAGGACCAGAGGUGAUGUGGAUCUGGGCACCAACAGACAACUGGGAUUUUAAAAGGUAAAAACGGCCAUCAAAAACAGAGACUGGGAUCAGAGACCUUAGAGCUAUCGUUUGACCCAAGCUUCCGGCCCUCUCAGCAAGAGGAUGUUCACAGACUGCCUUGGGACAGGAGCCCCAGAGCGGUGCAGGAGGCCUCACCCCGCAUCCCCACCCUGCUACAGCAGCACUGUCUCUGUGACUUCCCUGCCACCAUCUGCCAUCUAACUUCUGCAACCCACAUCUUUAUGUGCAUCUGAAUUCUCAAAAGCCAUGCAAAGAUAUUGCCUGGGUUCCGAAUCUGCUAUGCAGCAUAUACUCCGUCAAUUCAGCCCCAAUUUUUCGGAACUUUAGCCUUGGUACUUUAGCACUGACUGAAAAAAAAAGGCAGAAAUUUUUAGGAAACAAAUAAUUUAAGGCAUUAGUUUUGUAUUAAGAAUCAGAUGCAGCUGUAUUACUAAGGAAAAUGUGAAAUGUAGGUGACUUUUAAAGAGAAAAUUAAAAGUAGCAGAUUGGUUUUCAUCUUCCUGGUAAGCUUCAGAUGAGAUACCCCCCCAAAAAACACCCCCCCCCACACCGUGCCCCUCCCUUCCCGAAGCCCCCAAGAUUGAGUAUUCAUUUUUAGUUGCCCUGAGGGAUACUGUUGUGGAAAAGUUUGAGAAGUUCUGCUUUACAAAGACUCCCUUGAGCCUCAUAGCCAUUGGUCAUUAGGCAAGAAAACACAGCCAGUUCCUUCUGUCCUGGGCUGCCUUCCAUUACUGUCCACCCAUGACCAUGGUCUGUGCGUUGAUGGGCAGGGUCUUCGGAGUUGAGGUCUCCCUUGGCAGAAUGUCCCCUGUAGUUUUAGCCCAGGAGCCCAUGUUGUGUGGUUUUUCAAGGCUAAAUUAGAGACCACCCUAGAAUUUGGGGGCUGAAAUGAGGCCUUUUCCUCUCUCUGUCUCAUCUGCUUUGGGGGUAGUGGGGAGUCAGACCUCUGACAGGCUCAGUUUGGGAGCCCAAUGAAGCAACCAACAGAAUCCACACCUCUAUGCAUAGGCAGAAUGGAAUCUUUGCAAAUCUUUGAAUAAAAUUUUUCUUAUUGUACUGGAUUUUUAAAAGGAGAGAACACAUUUCCAUCGUCCCUCCCCUGUCUUUCACUGUCUCCCAGAGUUUGCUCAAACUCAUGUCUAUUGAGUCUGUGAUGCCAUCCAACCAUCUUAUCCUCUGCUGCCCACUUCUCCUCCUGCCCUCAGUCUUUCCCAGCAUCAGGGUCUUUUCCAAUGAGUCAGCUCACUGCAUCAGGUAGCCUAAGUAUUGGAGCUUCAGCUUCAGCAUCAGUCCUUCCAGUGAGUAUUCAGGGUUGAUUUCCUUUAGGAUUUACUGGUUUGAUCUCCUUGCAGUCCAAGGGACUCUCAGGAGUCUUCUCCAGCAAGGGUGUGAGAGAAGGAGAGAAACUGGGGAGAAUUCCAAGGGGAGACAGCCAGCUUCUGACGUGGCUCCUAAAGACCCCCGUCUCCUGGCUGUCACAUCUCUAUAACUCCACUCCUCUUGAGUCGAGGCUGGACCAGGUGACUUGCUUCUGAUGACUAGGAUAUGGCAAAGUUGAUGGAAUGGCACUUCUGUGAUUAGGUUACAAAAGACUGUGACUUCCUCUUGCUGGCAGAUUCUCACUACUGCCCUCUCAGCUUGCACCCUUCAAUGAAGCAAGAUGCCUUACUUGUGAGGUCCACAUGUCAAGGAUCCAAGGGUAGCCCCUGGCCAACAACCAGUGAGGAACUGAAGCCCUCAGUCCAACAGCCCAUGGAGAACUAGAUCCUGUCAACAACCACGUGAGCUCAGGCUCCAGGGACUGUAACCCACCAGGAUCCUCUGUCCAUGGAAUUUUCCAGACAAGAAUACUAGAGUGGAUUGCCAUUUCCUCCUCCAGGGGAUCUUCCCAACCCAGGGAUUGAACCUGUGUCUCUGGCGUCUCCUGCAUUGCCAGGCAGAUUCUUUACCACUGUGCCACCUGUGUAGCAGAGACUAUGCUAGAUCUUCACUAUACCUGUUUUCCUUCACCUCCUGGAUCCAUGGCUGGAUGCAGAGAAUCCAAGAGAGGCCCUGAGGCUCCAGGAAAUGAUGGAACCUUUCCAUGGAAAAAGCCUGUGUCCUGGAGUGACUUUGUGGAGAAUCCCCACCUGCCCAUCACCUACAUAAAAUUGUGACAUGACAAUGAAUAAACCUAGACCAUGUUGUUUCUGCAGUAAUUAGCAUUCCCUGCCUUGACUCACCUACCCAGCAUUCCCUGCUUUGACUCACCUACCCAGCAUUCCAUGCUCUGACUUACCUACCCAGUAUUCCAUGGCACCCAACUCCAGUACUCUUGCCUGGAAAAUCCCAUGGAUGGAGGAGCCUGAAAGGCUGCAGUCCAUGGGGUCGCUGAGGGUCUGGCAUGACUGAGCGACUUCCCUUUCACUUUUCACUUUCAUGCAUUGGAGAAGGAAAUGGCAACCCACUCCAGUGUUCUUACCUGGAGAAUCCCAGGGAUGGGGGAGCCCGGUGGGCUGCUGUCUAUGGGGUUGCACAGAGCUGGACACAACUGAAGUGACUUAGCAGCAGCAGCAUUCCUUGCCCUGACCUGCAUACCCAGUAUUUCCCAACAUCUGAUAACCAAGAUGAUUUAGAUGGUAUCCAAUUACAAACUUUAAAUUGUAACACACUUAUUUUAUAGGUAUUAGAAAAAAUAUAGACAUACACAGAAAACUAGAUCACCAGUCUUAUGAUUUCAGAGAUGUCAUUACUCGGGACAAGGGCUGAUUUAAUGAAUUGAGUCAGUUAAAAAUGCUGAGUAAACACAGAACAGGUGUUAAGUGAAAAUGGUAACAGUGCACACACAUGCUGGCUUACUUUGUGAAGUGGUCGUGAGACUAAAAAGACAUGAUGCAAGCAAAGUAACUCUCCUAGGCCUGACGCAUAGGAAGUGAAUGAUAAAUGGUAGCUCUUAUCAUGUAGCUCACGAACCUGUAACAUAGGAUUUACACACUGCAUCGUGUGGCCGGCUUAUUGUUUACUUGUUCAUCACCCCUGCUCACACUGAAUGCCUUAGGAGUAGGGAUCUAUCUUAUCUCUCA